Molecule: non-coding RNA, 190 nt
Organism: Bactrocera oleae (olive fruit fly)
Lineage: Eukaryota; Metazoa; Arthropoda; Insecta; Diptera; Tephritidae
Source: RefSeq, a predicted model, not a curated record
AAAUGAUUUAUAUGACUUAGCGUUGACAUUUGACAACACUUUUUUCUGAGACCGGAAGUGUGCGUAGGCGUAUACGUAAUAUAUGUGUAUUGUAAUGAGGGAGCCUGUUGUACAUUACUCAUACCACCUGUCCGCCACGCAAGAGCAGUGGGGUUCAGGAAUCAGCACUUGCUGACAAAAUGAUAACAUC